GAUCCUGGCUCAGAUUGAACGCUGGCGGCAGGCUUAACACAUGCAAGUCGAGCGGAAACGAUGAUAGCUUGCUAUCAGGCGUCGAGCGGCGGACGGGUGAGUAAUACUUAGGAAUCUACCUAGUAGUGGGGGAUAGCUCGGGGAAACUCGAAUUAAUACCGCAUACGACCUACGGGAGAAAGGGGGCAACUUGUUGCUCUCGCUAUUAGAUGAGCCUAAGUCGGAUUAGCUAGAUGGUGGGGUAAAGGCCUACCAUGGCGACGAUCUGUAGCUGGUCUGAGAGGAUGAUCAGCCACACCGGGACUGAGACACGG
This 314-nucleotide ribosomal RNA is filed under the name Psychrobacter glacincola. RNAcentral's name for it is "bacterial SSU rRNA". It matches the Rfam family "Bacterial small subunit ribosomal RNA", at positions 15 to 329 of the family's 1533-position model. Lineage: Bacteria; Pseudomonadati; Pseudomonadota; Gammaproteobacteria; Moraxellales; Moraxellaceae. The record is from RNAcentral.